RNAcentral lists this ribosomal RNA (492 nucleotides) under uncultured bacterium. Its description in RNAcentral is "partial 16S ribosomal RNA". It matches the Rfam family "Bacterial small subunit ribosomal RNA", at positions 29 to 507 of the family's 1533-position model. The record is from RNAcentral.
AGUGAACGCUGGCGGUAGGCCUAACACAUGCAAGUCGAACGGCAGCACAGUAAGAGCUUGCUCUUACGGGUGGCGAGUGGCGGACGGGUGAGGAAUACAUCGGAAUCUACUUUUUCGUGGGGGAUAACGUAGGGAAACUUACGCUAAUACCGCAUACGACCUACGGGUGAAAGCAGGGGAUCUUCGGACCUUGCGCGAUUGAAUGAGCCGAUGUCGGAUUAGCUAGUUGGCGGGGUAAAGGCCCACCAAGGCGACGAUCCGUAGCUGGUCUGAGAGGAUGAUCAGCCACACUGGAACUGAGACACGGUCCAGACUCCUACGGGAGGCGGCAGUGGGGAAUAUUGGACAAUGGGCGCAAGCCUGAUCCAGCCAUACCGCGUGGGUGAAGAAGGCCUUCGGGUUGUAAAGCCCUUUUGCUGGGAAAGAAAAGCAGCAGGUUAAUACCCCGCUGUUCUGACGGUACCCAAAGAAUAAGCACCGGCUAACUUCGUG